CCUAAGGUAGCGAAAUUCCUUGUCGGGUAAGUUCCGACCUGCACGAAUGGCGUAACGACUUCCCCGCUGUCUCGACCAGGAGCUCGGCGAAAUUGCAGUACGAGUAAAGAUGCUCGUUAAGCGCAGAAGGACGAAAAGACCCCGGGACCUUUACUAUACCUUGGUAUUGGCGUCAGUCGCGGAUUGUGUAGCAUAGGCGGGAGGCUUCGAGGCGCGGGCGCCAGCCCGCGCGGAGCCGCAAGGUGAAAUACCGCUCUGUUCUCGUUUGACGUCUCACCUCGAACGGUCAUCCUGUUCAGGGACAGUGCCUGGCGGGUAGUUUAACUGGGGCGGUUGCCUCCCAAAGAGUAACGGAGGCGCUCAAAGGUCCGCUCAGCCCGGUUGGCAAUCGGGUGUCGAGUGCAAUCGCACAAGCGGGCUUGACUGCGAGGACGGCGGUCCGAGCAGGGACGAAAGUCGGAGAUAGUGAUCCGGUGCCGGCGCACGGGCGCGGCAUCGCUCAACGGAUAAAAGGUACCCCGGGGAUAACAGGCUGAUCAUUCCCAAGAGUCCAUAUCGACGGGAUGGUUUGGCACCUCGAUGUCGGCUCGUCGCAUCCUGGGGCUGGAGCAGGUCCCAAGGGUUCGGCUGUUCGCCGAUUAAAGCGGCACGCGAGCUGGGUUCAGAACGUCGUGAGACAGUUUGGUCUCUAUCCUCUGCGCUCGUUGGAAUCCUGGGGAGGCCUGCCCAUAGUACGAGAGGACCUGGGUGGACGAACCUCUGGUAUGCCGGUUGUCGCGCCAGCGGCACGGCCGGUUGGCUACGUUCGGGAGGGAUAACCGCUGAAAGCAUCUAAGCGGGAAGCCUGCUCCGAGAUUAGGAUUCCUUACGGUCUUGAACCGUUGAAGCCCGCAUGUGGAACACGUGUUUGAUAGGCCGGAGGUGGAAGCCCCGCGAGGGGUGGAGCCGACCGGUACUAACGGGCGACGGCGACAUAGC
Molecule: ribosomal RNA, 978 nt
Filed under: human gut metagenome
Description: bacterial LSU rRNA
Rfam family: Bacterial large subunit ribosomal RNA
Source: RNAcentral